CCUUUCUAAGGAAACAAUUAUCAUCUUCAG
RNAcentral lists this unclassified non-coding RNA (30 nucleotides) under Chinese potato phytoplasma. Its description in RNAcentral is "partial 16S-23S ribosomal RNA intergenic spacer". The record is from RNAcentral. Lineage: Bacteria; Bacillati; Mycoplasmatota; Mollicutes; Acholeplasmatales; Acholeplasmataceae.